GAUGAACGCUGGCGGCGUGCUUAACACAUGCAAGUCGAACGGAAAGGCCCAAGCUUGCUUGGGUACUCGAGUGGCGAACGGGUGAGUAACACGUGAGUGAUCUGCCCUGCACUUCGGGAUAAGCCUGGGAAACUGGGGCUAAUACCGGAUAGGACCACCUCGUAGUUGGUGUGGUGGAAAGAUUUUUGGGUGUGGGGUGAGGUCGCGGCCUAUCAGCUUGUUGGUGGGGGGAUGGCCCACAAAGGCGUCGUGGGGGAGGCGGGCUGUGGGGGGGUGCGGCCAUAGUGGUGCUGUGCUGCCGCCCAUCCUCCGGCGGGCGGCAGCAGUGGAGAAUGUUGCACGAGCGGAGGACGCCUGCUGCAGCGCCGCGGCGGGGAUGAUGACGGCCGGGUUGUUGUAAACUCCUUUCUGUAAAGACGAGUUUAUGACGGUAAUUGGUGAAGAAGCACCGGCUAACUACGUG
RNAcentral lists this ribosomal RNA (463 nucleotides) under uncultured bacterium. Its description in RNAcentral is "partial 16S ribosomal RNA". It matches the Rfam family "Bacterial small subunit ribosomal RNA", at positions 28 to 507 of the family's 1533-position model. The record is from RNAcentral.